RNAcentral lists this ribosomal RNA (635 nucleotides) under Penicillium pimiteouiense. Its description in RNAcentral is "eukaryotic LSU rRNA". It matches the Rfam family "Eukaryotic large subunit ribosomal RNA", at positions 1 to 649 of the family's 3401-position model. The record is from RNAcentral. Lineage: Eukaryota; Fungi; Ascomycota; Eurotiomycetes; Eurotiales; Aspergillaceae.
GUUGACCUCGGAUCAGGUAGGGAUACCCGCUGAACUUAAGCAUAUCAAUAAGCGGAGGAAAAGAAACCAACAGGGAUUGCCUCAGUAACGGCGAGUGAAGCGGCAAGAGCUCAAAUUUGAAAGCUGGCUCCUUCGGGGUCCGCAUUGUAAUUUGCAGAGGAUGCUUCGGGAGCGGCCCCCAUCUAAGUGCCCUGGAACGGGCCGUCAUAGAGGGUGAGAAUCCCGUAUGGGAUGGGGUGCCCGCGACCAUGUGAAGCUCCUUCGACGAGUCGAGUUGUUUGGGAAUGCAGCUCUAAAUGGGUGGUAAAUUUCAUCUAAAGCUAAAUAUUGGCCGGAGACCGAUAGCGCACAAGUAGAGUGAUCGAAAGAUGAAAAGCACUUUGAAAAGAGAGUUAAAAAGCACGUGAAAUUGUUGAAAGGGAAGCGCUUGCGACCAGACUCGCCCGCGGGGUUCAGCCGGUAUUCGUACCGGUGUACUUCCCCGCGGGCGGGCCAGCGUCGGUUUGGGCGGCCGGUCAAAGGCCCUCGGAAUGUAACGCCUCUCGGGGCGUCUUAUAGCCGAGGGUGCCAUGCGGCCAGCCCGGACCGAGGAACGCGCUUCGGCACGGACGCUGGCAUAAUGGUCGUAAGCGACC